This 254-nucleotide ribosomal RNA is filed under the name uncultured bacterium. RNAcentral's name for it is "partial 16S ribosomal RNA". It matches the Rfam family "Bacterial small subunit ribosomal RNA", at positions 793 to 1055 of the family's 1533-position model. The record is from RNAcentral.
GUCCACGCCGUAAACGAUGGAUACUAGCUGUUGGGUGCAAACUCAGUGGCUAAGCGAAAGUGAUAAGUAUCCCACCUGGGGAGUACGUUCGCAAGAAUGAAACUCAAAGGAAUUGACGGGGCCCGCACAAGCGGUGGAGCAUGUGGUUUAAUUCGAUGAUACGCGAGGAACCUUACCAAGGCUUAAAUGUAGAUUGACCGGUUUGGAAACAGACUUUUCGCAAGACAAUUUACAAGGUGCUGCAUGGUUGUCGU